UGGGUGGUUUCUAGUGAACGGAAAGGCCAUUUAUGAACCCACUUGUCUUUGUUGGCUGCAAACCUGAAAGUGGAGCCCAUUGGGGCACAGAAACACUAACGGAGGUCUCUGCCCUCGGAACCCACAGGCAAAGAAGAGGAAAUACUAUAGAUGUGAUGGAGCUGAGUGUUUAAUUAUUUAAAUAUUUAUUAAACCACACUUCCACAUAAAGUAUCAUAGGGAAGGAUAGAGGUUUUAAAACCACAGUACGACUAUCAAAACAUUACAUGCAUCAAACAACUGGCAAAUAAUCUCAGGCUCGGAACGCCUGUCUGAAUAAUGCGGUUUUUAGAAGAUGUCUGAAAUGUGGGAAUUAGAUUCUAGUUCCCAUAAGUAUCACCUGCCUGUCUUGUAUGUUUAAUCUAACAAGUGCAAGUAUGCCUAGGAAAAGUUAUCUGUUAUUUAAACUUUAAAAGAAGAGUGUCUUGCAUAAUUUUUAUAGGAGGGAAAAGGGAACUAAUUACAGGGUUCCUUUUGCUUACUUCUGUAAAUGGGAACUGGAAUCUUAAUUCCCACAUUUAAGAUGAUGUCUAAAAGCACGCUGCAACGGCUCCACUAUUGGCCGGGAGUUCCACAGGGCAGGGGCUGCCACAGCAAAGGCUUGAGCCCUGGUAGAGGCCAGCCAAACCUCAGGGGGAUGUGGGGAACCAUCAGGAGUGCCCCAUCAGAUGGCCCCAGCUAUCAAGGAAGAGCAGAGAGAAUCAGGCAACCCUUAAGAUACUAUAGGUAUCCUUAAGGUUAAUGUCCUUGCAACUUUGGGCGUUAAUACAAUAAACCUGAACCUGAGGUUAUGGAAUUUGCUUCCCAGUGAGGACGCUCUCCAUAAUGCCUGCAUUUUCUCUUGAAGUUAAGCAGAGACGUGAUGGUCACCUUUGGGGAAUGCUGUAGUCACAGGUUUCAUGCAUGAGCAGGGAGGGGCAUGGACUAGAUGACUCUUGGGGCACCUCACAGCUAUGGUUU
Non-coding RNA from Podarcis lilfordi (Lilford's wall lizard), 999 nucleotides. The record is from the annotation of a GenBank genome assembly. NCBI's taxonomy places the organism in Eukaryota, Metazoa, Chordata, Lepidosauria, Squamata, Lacertidae.